CGAUUAGCUGAUUGAUCGGUUGAUUGUCGCCGCCGCCGCGCGCUCGAGCCAGCUGAGCCUGUCCGCGGAUCGAUAAUCCUCUGAUCGGAAAACUGAUCUGCUCCAUCAGUCACCGAUCAGCCUCCUCACGGAGCUGGGCAGCAGCCUCCCUGCCGCGGGGCCCCGGGCCUCCGUCAGCGCCACGGGGCCCCGGGCCUCCGUCAGCGCCACAUGGGACGGCCUGAGCUGGGCCGGCCUGAGCUGGGACAGCUAACCCUAAGGCUCACCUUCAUCACCUGGCAGAGGACAUGCUGCCGCUUCAGGCCCGCUCCACCUGAAUCCAUGUUCCUCUGAUCAGCUGAUCGCGGCAGCAGAGCUCCGCCUGCCGGCGCUGGGUCGCUCUCACCGACUCCAUCAAAAUCAAGAAUAAAACGGAGUGCGAUCGUUUGCUUGUUUUUAUUUGUGUUUCAUCUGUUAAAAUGUUGGCUGUUCCUCUUUGGUUCUCCUCACUCGUGUUCUUGUGUUUGUAUCUUUAUACUGGAAAUGUUGGGAUUAUUCAUUUAGUUUGUGUUUUUAGUUUGAGGUGAAAAGUGGUAAUAAUCCGCUCCUCUCUUCUUGGUGUUUGUGUUUGGGAUGAUUUGCUCUGGCUAACAAACUACGACACUCAGUUUUUUCUUUGUUCCUUCUUUUUGAUAUUUAUGAGUCUUAUUUUGUAAGUAUUUCUAUAAUCAUAUCGCUGUAAAUGUUGGGAUUAUUCAUUUCUACGUGAAUUAAAACAAGAGUUUAAGGCAAACAUGCAGAGGCACUGAAACACGCCAUCCCAGCAUGCACCUGUGUGCCAGAUGUCCCUGUUAUUAUGAACCCCACCAGAGUUCUGGGCAAGACAUUACAUCUUACAGCCAACCACUUGUGGGCAUGGCACACCCAGAACCCCAGUGGGAUCCAUAAUCAGUGUGAAUGCUCGUUCAGAGCAAACCGAUUGGACCUCCUGCUC
Myripristis murdjan (pinecone soldierfish) is the source of this 973-nucleotide long non-coding RNA. RefSeq lists it as uncharacterized. The transcript has 3 exons. NCBI's taxonomy places the organism in Eukaryota, Metazoa, Chordata, Actinopteri, Holocentriformes, Holocentridae. The record is from RefSeq and is a predicted model, not a curated record.